GGACCAUAAUUUCCAGUC
RNAcentral lists this small nuclear RNA (18 nucleotides) under Arabidopsis thaliana (thale cress). Its description in RNAcentral is "snRNA_04416". Lineage: Eukaryota; Viridiplantae; Streptophyta; Magnoliopsida; Brassicales; Brassicaceae. The record is from RNAcentral.